This 185-nucleotide non-coding RNA is filed under the name Oxynema acuminatum PCC 6304. Its description in RNAcentral is "Oscillatoria acuminata PCC 6304 6S / SsrS RNA". It matches the Rfam family "6S / SsrS RNA". Rfam says of the family: E. coli 6S RNA was the first non coding RNA to be sequenced, but its function was unknown until recently. It consists of 184 nucleotides that fold into an extended hairpin structure with a large single-stranded internal bulge. The record is from Rfam by way of RNAcentral. Lineage: Bacteria; Bacillati; Cyanobacteriota; Cyanophyceae; Oscillatoriales; Oscillatoriaceae. RNAcentral also lists the same sequence under 1 other name.
GCUGAACUGCAACGUUGGUGACUGCCAAUAGUGUUUUAUGAUCUAUGCCUUAAUUUAUAAGGGAAUCGUAGAGUUCUAGUGGCCGUAAACCGGACAUUGUAUCCGGAAACGUAAAGCUAUGAGCCGCGAUGCCCACCUGGUUUUUCCAGGUCAGAAGCUGAGGUAAGACGGCGUUGCGGUCAGCC